Molecule: ribosomal RNA, 254 nt
Filed under: uncultured bacterium
Lineage: Bacteria
Description: partial 16S ribosomal RNA
Rfam family: Bacterial small subunit ribosomal RNA
Source: RNAcentral
UACAUAGGGUGCAAGCGUUAUCCGGAAUUAUUGGGCGUAAAGAGCUCGUAGGCGGUUUGUCGCGUCUGCUGUGAAAACUGGAGGCUCAACCUCCAGCCUGCAGUGGGUACGGGCAGACUAGAGUGCGGUAGGGGAGAUUGGAAUUCCUGGUGUAGCGGUGGAAUGCGCAGAUAUCAGGAGGAACACCGAUGGCGAAGGCAGAUCUCUGGGCCGUAACUGACGCUGAGGAGCGAAAAGCAUGGGGAGCGAACAGG